This is an RNA transcript of Nerophis lumbriciformis (worm pipefish), 3559 nucleotides long. It is a transcript of the gene named rapunzel 2, with no coding region annotated. Lineage: Eukaryota; Metazoa; Chordata; Actinopteri; Syngnathiformes; Syngnathidae. The record is from RefSeq and is a predicted model, not a curated record.
GGAAAAGGAAAAUGGUGGCCAGUGAAGACAGGCGACUUCGGUAGACAAGAGACACCAAACACCUUAUCUCUGUCUCGAUCAGCAUCACUUGCUGAGUGGUAGUGGCUAAAAAAGAAGCGCAGCCAUGGUAGAUGCCGCAAUGAUCAAGAAAACUGCUGUUACCGUUUUGAGUUGCGUGGAGAAGGUGUCCUCCUUUACCUCCUCCAUUGACCCGCUUUUCGGUAUAGUCACAUCCCUUUUGGCUAAAGUAAAAAAAACAUAAUAAAUAUAUUUCUUUUAAAUGUAAGAUAGGAUACAAAUAAUUAUGGUGUUUAAGAACUUAUUUGUCACAGUUUUUAACUAUUUAAUUAUUUGUCUUUAUGUGACAGGAAUACAUUAACAUCUUAAACCGGGGGUGUCCAAGCAGUAGCUUGCCAGCUGAUGUCGAGUAGAUCACUAAAAAGUCAACAAUAUUUACUUAAACUCUCAGUAUUUUUACAACUGUUCACUUCAGACAUAUUUAAUGACAAAUAACCACAAAGUAGCAUAAAGACAAUGGCCACAUUGUUUGAAUGAAAAUCAGCUUCUUAAAUUAAGCAAAAUCUAAAUGUCAAUCAUAUAAAUAAAAUAACAUUUCUAAUAGAAAAUGUGAGUUGUGGAUAUCAGAAUUGUGUUAAUGCUCUGGUGAAACAAGUGUCUUCUCUUAAUUUGAGUUAAAAUAAGUUAUGAAAAUAAAUGUUACAAAAAUGAGUAGCUCUCUACCAUUAUUUAUUAAAAGCAGCUCUCAGUUAGGCCUGGGUCGAUAUUCGAUUACGGUAAUCAAUUAACUGAACGAUAAAUUAAAAAGUUGGCCUCUUUUCCAGCAUCAAUAUGGUAGGUAGGUAGGUCUUUGUUUUCAGCACAAACCCGUUCAAGAUUAGACAAACACAAGUGUACAGGGUUACAGAACAGGAACGCUGAUGGGUCGAGGUAAAAGAUGGGAUAAAGGUAAACGCUGGGGAACGAUGAGUAAAAAAAUACAAUCUAUACUGGGCUCCUAAGGGGGCUCAGUCUGGAGUGGGAAAAAACCUCCAUAGCAAAGCACAUAUACAUAUUACAACAUACAUCUCGAGACUAGCAACAGAGGGGAGGGAGUGGGGGCCACGGUGGCAGGCUGCAGCUCUUCAGGCGCUGCCCAGCCGUCCAUCACCCCUAAGGGAUUUGCGUCAAAGGCGUUAGAUGGGGGGUGGGGUAUGUGUGUGUGGCGUAUAUUUUUUGUGGAUACAUGUGUAUGUGUAAGCCUGCCUGCCGCAUGUCUCUAUUCCGCGGCCUUGGUGUUGUGUAGUCGCUAGUCAGUCCAAAGUCAACAACAACAGGUGUGUGUCCAUGAGAGACAAGAAGGGAGUUUGUUGUGUCUUCGCCGCACUGUCCUUCAGGAGAGUCUCGAAGCCAGGGAAACAAUCCAAGUUAGAAUGUUUUGUAUGCCAGUGAAAAUAAAAUGUGCUUUUCACUCUAAAUUGUCUAUGACUGGUCCUCAAAAUUAAUCCUGCGGGGCAGACAGUCCAAUGUUAUCCAAAUCACAAGAGUGUCCACAGUUCUUUCCGCAUCCUCCAAUCAUUUGUGGCAGCUUUGGGGUACUUUGAAGACUGCCAGCAACUUCCAAUUUGUCGACAAACCAGAGCCAUGCUUACUCCAAUCAGCAGAUAACCGCCAUAUGCAUGCGUUGCUACAGGUUCCAAGAGUGGUCACUCCUUUGCAUAGGUUUCGGCAGCUGUAGGCUUUUGUACUACAUGCACAUAAAAUGUAAUAAUGGUAACCGCUGUAAAUCUCCCGACGGUUAGUUUUACUGUAAUAAAUUACAAUGAUCAAAAAACUGUGAUUGAUAACUGCACUUUGAUAAACUUAUCGAAGGACUAGCAGUAGCUUGCUAGCUAAUGGGAACAUGAAGACAAGAGACAUGAUUAACGUCUUUAUCCAUUAGGAAACGUCAUACCCCAAUCUAAACUUGUAUAAAGACAUUACUGUCUAAACAACUAAAAUACAGUAUUCACUUUGAACAUAAAGGCUGCAGGUUCCAAGAGCGGUCACUCUUUUGCAUAGGUUUCAGCAGCUGUAGGCUUUUGUACUACAUGCACAUAAAAUGUAAUAAUGAUAACCGCUGUAAAUCUCCCGACGGUUAGUUUUACUGUAAUAAAUUACAAUGAUCAAAAAACUGUAAUUGAUAACUGCACUUUGAUACACUUAUCGAAGGACUAGCAGUAUCUUGCUAGCUAGAAUAAAUGGGAACAUGAAGACAAGAGACAUGAUUAACGUCUUUAUCCAUUAGGAAACGUCAUACCCCAAUCUAAACUUGUAUAAAGACAUUACUGUCUAAACAACUAAAAUACAGUAUUCACUUUGAACAUAAAGGCUGCGCUGUCUUUUCACAAACUGAUCGAUAUAGACUCCACAGUGUCGAGUUGAAACAGACGGAGGUCCGUUCAACUGGAAGUGAACUCGCAUCACAUAAACCGAAAGUGUAAAACAAAUGUUGACAAAUUAAAAUGGAAGAAGAUAAACAUAUUUAAACACACAAAUUAAAAUACUAUGAGUGGCGACUUGUCCAGGGUGUACCCCGCCUUCCGCCCGAGUGCAGCUGGGAUAGGCUCCAGCACCCCCCGUGAUCCCGAGAGGGACAAGCAGUAGGAAAUGGAUGGAUGGAUGGGCUCUUAUGAAGCCACAGCAAUUGUUGAUGUUUCCUCUGCCAAGAAAGAAUAUUGUGUCUAUUUAUUUUGGUUAUCUAAAAAAAAUACAACUGGUUAAAAUAGUUUAAUAUUUUAAUGCACUUUUUUAACACAUUCAACAAUUCCAGGAGAAUAAUGGUAACAAUCAUUUUAUUUUAGCCAUUUUAUUUAUUGUUUUGGUUUUGUGUAUUUAAGGGUCCCACAGCCAGUCCUUAACAGAGACAGAACCUAUUUUGUUGCUUUUGGUUGUCAUUUUUAUGAAAGUGCAACAUUCUGCUAACAGAGUAUAUUUUAUUUGUAUUAUGUGUUUGUUUCAAAAGUUUACCUUCCAAUUACAAUGUUGAGAUAUACCUUGAAAUACAAGUUUAUUGCAUUUGAAAGUGUAUACUUUUAUUAUUAUGAUGUAAUAUUACAUCAGUGGUUAAUUUGAUCUUAAAACAAUGUUGAAAAUAAUCUUGUUUAUCUGCAAUUAUUUUGUAGGUCAACAUACCGUCAAACAAAAUUUGCUAUCGGCCCAGGCCUACUCUCAGUAGAUCAAUGGCGUUCAUCACGUCUUCUUAAAAUAUAGGUACAAGAUUCUUAUGUGCAGACAAAAUGUUUUUUGAGCAAGUGAAACUGACAGGUUUGUGGCGCAGCUGUUUUUAGACACGUCACACAAGGAAGGACAAUUCUAACGAAGGCUUAAGUGUCAGCCAAAACUGUACACAAGUAUGAGACAUCGCAUACUCAAAAAACUUAAUUUUUUCGCACCUUUUUGUACCUAAGUAGCUCCCAGAUGGUUCGAGAUGCAUGCCUUAAGGGUUUUGAUAAAAUAUCUGCAUUGGCUAAAAACCUGUGCACCUGUGUGUAUUAGUGACAAAGAUUUAUUGAAGAAUCUG